Molecule: ribosomal RNA, 233 nt
Filed under: uncultured bacterium
Lineage: Bacteria
Description: partial 16S ribosomal RNA
Rfam family: Bacterial small subunit ribosomal RNA
Source: RNAcentral
CCGAGCCUACGGGACGCAGCAGUAGGGAAUCUUCCACAAUGGGCGAAAGCCUGAUGGAGCAACGCCGCGUGGGUGAAGAAGGUCUUCGGAUCGUAAAACCCUGUUGUUAGAGAAGAAAGUGCGUGAGAGUAACUGUUCACGUUUCGACGGUAUCUAACCAGAAAGCCACGGCUAACUACGUGCCAGCAGCCGCGGUAAUACGUAGGUGGCAAGCGUUAUCCGGAUUUAUUGGG